CUGGAGUGUGGACAAAAACAGAAACCGCCCAGGAAUUUCAGUAUUUUCCAUCCAAUAUAAUUUUAUAAUUAGUUUUCUUCGUUGUUAUGAGAUGAUAAAAUAUGAACAAUAAUUUACUCCUGACUUAUGUUUUUAAAUUUUUUUCAAAAAAUUUUUAAAUAAGACGAACGAUCAAAGUUGGGUGCGAAAAAUCAUGGCUGCACUUAAC
Oryza sativa Indica Group (long-grained rice) is the source of this 208-nucleotide microRNA precursor. It matches the Rfam family "MIR812 microRNA precursor family". NCBI's taxonomy places the organism in Eukaryota, Viridiplantae, Streptophyta, Magnoliopsida, Poales, Poaceae. The record is from Rfam.